RNAcentral lists this transfer RNA (102 nucleotides) under Nitrosopumilales archaeon. RNAcentral's name for it is "tRNA-Asn". It matches the Rfam family "tRNA". Rfam says of the family: Transfer RNA (tRNA) molecules are approximately 80 nucleotides in length. Their secondary structure includes four short double-helical elements and three loops (D, anti-codon, and T loops). The record is from RNAcentral. Lineage: Archaea; Thermoproteati; Nitrososphaerota; Nitrososphaeria; Nitrosopumilales.
GCCGCUGUAGCUCAGCAUGGUAGAGCAAAUUCAAAGAUAGUUACUUUGGAGCUUAACUGGCUGUUAACCAGUGGGCCAUCAGUUCAAGUCUGAUCAGCGGCG